RNAcentral lists this ribosomal RNA (333 nucleotides) under Triticum aestivum (bread wheat). RNAcentral's name for it is "partial small subunit ribosomal RNA". The record is from RNAcentral. Lineage: Eukaryota; Viridiplantae; Streptophyta; Magnoliopsida; Poales; Poaceae.
AUGCUAGCGAAGGCCAUGCUGAGAUCGAAAACUCAUCAGAGUAGACAAAAUCAAGGUGCGGCAGUAGGCCAGACUUGGGGAAGAAGCGGAUCUCAGAAUUACCAUGCUUGGUGCGUCAAGGAACAAAGCAGAGUGGAGAGAGAUGGCCAGAGAUGGAUUGUGGUUGGAGGGAGGGUAGAAAAGAGAGAGAAAGUAGUCUUUGGGCACAUGUGGGUCAUAUUGUAUAAUUUUAUUUCUUCCAAGUCAUUCUAUCUGGUGACCAUGUACGUUCCCAUUCGAUGGCAGACAUGGAUGGGGUCUGAGGGGUGCAAAGCAAACAGUUUUAGUACCUGA